CAUAAUGAACUAUCAAGCUAGAGUACAGGAGAGGAAAGCGGAAUUCCUAGUGUAGCGGUGAAAUGCGUAGAUAUUAGGAAGAACACCAGUGGCGAAGGCGGCUUUCUGGACUGAAACUGACGCUGAGGCUCGAAAGCGUGGGGAGCGAACAGGAUUAGAUACCCUGGUAGUCCACGCCGUAAACGAUGAGUGCUAGGUGUCGGGGAGGAAUCCUCGGUGCCGGAGCAAACGCAAUAAGCACUCCACCUGGGGAGUACGACCGCAAGGUUGAAACUCAAAGGAAUUGACGGGGGCCCGCACAAGCGGUGGAGCAUGUGGUUUAAUUCGAAGCAACGCGAAGAACCUUACCAAGGCUUGACAUCCCAUUGACGGCGUUAGAGAUAACGCUUUUCUACGGAACAAUGGAGACAGGUGGUGCAUGGUUGUCGUCAGCUCGUGUCGUGAGAUGUUGGGUUAAGUCCCGCAACGAGCGCAACCCUUAUUGUUAGUUGCUACGCAAGAGCACUCUAGCGAGACUGCCGUUGACAAAACGGAGGAAGGUGGGGACGACGUCAAAUCAUCAUGCCCCUUAUGUCCUGGGCCACACACGUACUACAAUGGUGGUCAACAGAGGGAAGCAAUACCGCGAGGUGGAGCAAAUCCCUAAAAGCCAUCCCAGUUCGGAUUGCAGGCUGAAACCCGCCUGUAUGAAGUUGGAAUCGCUAGUAAUCGCGGAUCAGCAUGCCGCGGUGAAUACGUUCCCGGGCCUUGUACACACCGCCCGUCACACCAUGAGAGUCGGGAACACCCGAAGUCCNNNNNCUAACCGCAAGGAGGGCGCGGCCGAAGGUGGGUUCGAUAAUUGGGGUGAAGUGGUAACAAGGUAGCCGUAA
RNAcentral lists this ribosomal RNA (872 nucleotides) under uncultured bacterium. RNAcentral's name for it is "bacterial SSU rRNA". It matches the Rfam family "Bacterial small subunit ribosomal RNA", at positions 624 to 1505 of the family's 1533-position model. The record is from RNAcentral.